GGAAGUUUUCAGUGUGCUUCGGCGGCUGGGGAAGAGAUACACUCUCUAUCUGAACCCUUGUCUUUUUGCGUACUCAUGUUUCCUCGGCGGGCCUGCCCGCCGGUUGGACAACUUAAUAACCUUUUUAAUUUUCAAUCAGCGUCUGAAUCAUUAUAAUAAUUACAACUUUCAACAACGGAUCUCUUGGUUCUGGCAUCGAUGAAGAACGCAGCGAAAUGCGAUAAGUAGUGUGAAUUGCAGAAUUCAGUGAAUCAUCGAAUCUUUGAACGCACAUUGCGCCCCUUGGUAUUCCAUGGGGCAUGCUUGUUCGAGCGUCAUUUGUACUCUCAAGCUUUGCUUGGUGUUGGGUGUUUGUCCUUACCUUUGUGUUUGGACUCGCCUUAAAUUCAUUGGCAGCCAAUAUAUUGGUUUGAAGCGCAGCACAUUUUGCGGUUCUGUCUAAUACUAUUAGCGUCCAUAAAGCACAAUUAACACUUUUGACCUCGGAUCAAGUAGGGAUACCCGCUGAACUUAAGCAUAUCAAUAAGCGGAGGAAAAGAAACCAACAGGGAUUGCCCUAGUAACGGCGAGUGAAGCGGCAACAGCUCAAAUUUGAAAUCUGGCUCUUUUAGGGUCCGAGUUGUAAUUUGCAGAGGGCGCUUUGGCGUUGGCAGCGGUCCAAGUUCUUUGGAACAGGACGUCACAGAGGGUGAGAAUCCCGUACGUGGUCGCUAUCCUUCGCCGUGUAAAGCCCCUUCGACGAGUCGAGUUGUUUGGGAAUGCAGCUCUAAAUGGGAGGUAAAUUUCUUCUAAAGCUAAAUACUGGCCAGAGACCGAUAGCGCACAAGUAGAGUGAUCGAAAGAUG
This 845-nucleotide ribosomal RNA is filed under the name uncultured fungus. RNAcentral describes it as "eukaryotic LSU rRNA". The stretch from base 478 to 845 matches the Rfam family "Eukaryotic large subunit ribosomal RNA", at positions 1 to 366 of the family's 3401-position model. Lineage: Eukaryota; Fungi. The record is from RNAcentral.